AAAAUGAAUACUGAAAGCAGUUUGUUUGUCUCCCAAUGUUGGUAAAGAGGUAAGAAGACCUUCCAAAAAUGUUUGCUUUCCUACUUUUCCUUUUCCAGUUCCUAUUAAAAUGUCAAAUUUUGGAUUCCCAAUUUCAUUAAUCAUCAUUCUAAAUUGAUUAUUUAUAACUAAUAUUCUAAAUAAAAAAUAACACGAAACUAAGGUCAAUCUUAAUGGACUGAGGGGUAAAACUCUUAAAAAAUAUAAGAUAAAAUUACUUACACUUGAUAAAACUAAGAAUAAUUAUUUUUUACUUCUUAAUAUAAGGCCAGUUAUAUAUGAUCGUAUUAAAAUUUUAUAUUACAUAAGACAAUUUCUAGUUGUGACUUUCUUUUAUGUAAUACCCAGCAAAUCUAGGACUCUAGAUCAACGGUGGAUAGUAUAUUUUAAAAAAAUAAUUAUCAAAGUAAAAGCCUAAACUGAUUUUUUUUAGAAAAAAUAUAUUGAAACCAUGCUACAUUGGUCCUUGGAAAAAAAUAGUCACAUAUUUUGAUCCGAAAUCACUUUUCUCUUUACAUCUUUUUUAUUUAUCUUGUUAUUUAAAUAAAUGAUAUCUAUAUAGAUCUACUUUUUAUUUAUAUUUUCAUGUUAUUUUGCUGAUUAAAUGAAAAGUUAUUAGAUUUUUAUGAUCUCGUUUAAGUAUUUUUUUUUGUUUAAAUUAACUUUGAUUCAAUAUAGAUAUAUAUAUAUAUCAAUAACUCCAAUGUCAUCAAUGUUUACAAGUUCGAAGAUAAAAUUAUUUCAGCUACUUUAAUUUUAUCAAAUUUAUAAAUAUUUUGUCCUCUUAUACUAUUAAUCCGAAUAUUAAUCUUAUUUACAAGUUUACCGUUUUUAAUUUUAAGGAAUUUUUAUUUGCGUAGUUCUCAAUUGAUAUAUUUUAUUAAUUUGAAUGAAAUGUAUAUCAUUGUUUAAUAAAAAAUAAAAUUGCUUAAUUAAAUUAUAUAUUAAAAUAGGGAGAGUGAGAAAGAGAAUUGUUAUUACCAUCGUCAGUUGUAGCACUGAUCAACUUGAAAGCAAUAGAACGACCCAAGAAAGAAGUGGCGGUAUCAAGUAAAGAGCCGGCGAUAUCUCCGAUAGCGCCGAUGGCACCACCGAUUAUACCACCGGGGCUUUGAACUGCAGUGAGAGCGUUGAUGUCCAAAACAUUCUUUUGCAUCAACACCACAGUUCCUUUCAGCUUUUCGCCUCUGUUAAAAAUACCUUUCACCAAUGAAGCCAUCAAGCUAUGUUAAUUAAUUCACUUUCUUUGACAAAUGUAAGAAAAGCUCGUGUCUUGUAACCAUGGAGUGUGCUUAGUAUUUAUAGACUAUCGUAGUUGUCAUAAGAAGGUUAGAUCACUAAAAAUAUACUUUUUUAUUCAUUAUUUGACAACAUGUGAAAAUACAUUGGGACACAUCUCUUCAGCUAUUUUUUUUAUUUAUUUAUUAAAUUUUAUUUAUUAAAAAAUGUAGGAUGAUAAAAUAAUGUCUCAACUUAAGUUAGUGAAGAUUUUAUAGUUGAUUGAACACUUACAAAUAAUUUACAUUUGCGUUCUUUAAUAAUAUUAGAGGAUAUUUAGGAUAUCGAAUUUAAGAGAGAGAAUAGGUUGGGCCGAUGUAGAGUUUGUUAGGCUUGUAAAAAAAUUCAAGGUUUAAGUCUAGUUUGUCGGUUACAGACUUACUUUUUAAGUCUGAGUUUGACAUUGAUAAAAGUUGUGAUAGAAGUCUGGUAUUAUAUUAUCUGUUAUCAUACUUAAAAGCCUAAUUCAUUUCAAUAUUUUUGAAUAAAUAAUAAAAUAUAUAUUUAAAUAAAUUAAUGAAUUAAUAUGUCAAUAAAAUUAAGUUCUAUUUUGAUAUUUAACAUUAUAUUUUGAAGAAUAUGAUUUUAUAAAUAUAAAACUUAAAUUAUAUUUUAUAAUAAUACAUUUAAAUAUGUCAAAAACUAAAUGAUAUUAAUAUGCUAAAUUAUUAAAAGUUGAAUAUAUAAUAAAAAAAAAUCAAAAUUUAGUAUAAGAAUUAUACUGGUAAAAAAAUAUUAUUUAUAUUUAUUUAAAUAAGUCGACCUAAUAGCUCAAUAAAUUUAUCAGGUAGUUUGAUCUUUUUAACUAAUCUAUUUUAAAAAAAAAAAGUCUAACAUGAUCUAGACCUGACAUAUACUAUUAAUCUGAUCUAUUUUCAUCUUUAAUUCGAUCUAAUACCUAUUUUUUAGUGUUGUAUUAAUGUUGUUUCUUGUGCAAUUUUAUAUUUAUCGUGAUUAUCUCGUGGCUUAUAAAAUAAUAAUGUCAUUUGCAUAAUUAUUUUGAUUGUUCUUAUAUGUACCAGCUUUUACGUUAUGGGUAAUCAUGAGUCUAUUGCACUAUUGUUAAUUACGUUCUUACCUGUAAGCCGACCAAAAUAUUCCUUUUUUAUUUUUUUUAUUUUUUUAUUUUCAUACUCUUGUUUAGAAGUAAAUUUCAAAUUUAACCCUUAAUCUCACUUAUUCACUAAUUAAUUUAUUAAAGUAUUCUAAUUUAAUAUUUCUAAUGUUAAUCACGUUUUUGUUUUGUUUUAAGGGAUGGGUAACUUAAGAGUUAUCUUUAUAUCAUGGUAUAGAAAAUAUAAUUUAAAUUAUAUUUUAUUUUAUCUUAAAUCUAAAAUAAUGACAUUAUUUAACUAUUUCACAUAAAUUAAAAAAAUUAUUAUUAAUUAAAAUUUUCUUUUUAAUCAUUGAUGUAUUCUAUUUACCACAAAUAUAAAAUAGUGAAUAAUAAAUUGAUAGUGAUUAAUAUAAUUUAAUACUUAAUUGUAGUUCUGGACCCUUUGUUUUUAUCAAUUAAAAAAAUUGAUAUAUUUAUUUUAAAAUUCGACAGUUGUUGUCCUUCUAUAAAAAUUUUGAACUAAUAAAAAUGACAAUUUAAGGUAUUUUAAAUAAUGUGAGAUUCAAUUACAUGAUAUAGAAUCACCUAGAUAAAUUAAUUAUUUAUAUAUGUCAUUAAUUAAAUUAUAAAUAUGAAGAAAAAAAAUUGAAGUUGAAAGUUACAUUUUUAUAGUGUUUUAUUUUGAUUUUAUAAAUGUUAAUCAUUCUACGCCAUUUUAUCAUAUGACAUAUUAUUUAAAACAUGUAACGUGACCAUUUUUUAGUUAAAAAAUAGAGGGUCCAAAUUGUCAACUUUUAAAAUAUGAAAUUAGUUUCGUGAAUCAGUAGAAAUAUGAGAACUAAAACUAAAAUCAAACUUAAUAUUAAUUAGAUAAUACAGUUAAAAAAAAUUAAAAUUACAUUAAAAAAUGAUGUAAUUUAUACAUACAAUAUAAAUAAUUUUUAUAUUAUCAAUCAAUAACACAACCGUUAUAUUAUUAGAGGUAUUUAAAUUUUAUCAAAUUAUCUUUAAAAUUAUAUUCAUAAAUACAUAUGUACUUAUGAUAUAUUAAUAGUAUAAAUUUUUUAGAUAGUACAUAACAAUUAAUUUUGCGAUGUUCAGACGUGUUGACCCAAAUGACAUUCCUACAAAAAUUCUUGAAAUUCCUACAAAAAUGCUUUUAGUCUCUUCACAAACGGAUGUAGGAAUAAUCAUAACCUGAGGUUGCCCCACCUAUCUUAAUUAAAAAUUUAAAAACUAACUUGGUGAGAUUUGAAAAUCUUAAAGCAAAAUAUUAUAUCAAUAAAUAUACAUCAUGUGCGUGUACGGUGUAUGGUAAAUCCUUUUGGAAAGAUUUAUUCGUACAAACACAUAGCAUAUCACAUAUGUUAUUUAGACAUAAUAUAUACUAUUAGUUAAUGUCUUUUUUUCAUCGUAAUCAUACGAGUAAAGAGAACAUAUUAAUAAAAAAAAUUCAAAACUGUAUGUUAAUAUGGUUUUUGAUGUCGAAAUUUAUGUCAAAAUAUUAUUUCUGCAUAGUACAUAUAAAUAAAGAUUAUGAUAUAAUUUUUGAAAAAUUAAAAGAUUAUUAAAUAUUUAUUUUAUUUAUAAGUGUAUGUUUUUUUAGUUUUUCAUAAGUUAUUUUCACCAAAUGUAAUCUGUUAUGUUAGAUAUUAAAGUUGAUACAUCUUUUGAUGAAAAUUCAAACUUCAACAUGUUAAGUGCACAACAAAGCCUGGAUAAAACACAUUAAACAACUUUUAUCAUUUUAAGAGAUUUAUUUCAAAUAUGUCAGCUACAUAUACCAUUUAUGUGAUGGCCAUUUUUAAAUAGUAUAUUAUAAUAGUUUAACUUUAAUUUUUUUUUUUGUGUGACUAUUAUGUUUCCUAUUUUGGAUUAUUUACCAAUAAUAUAAAUUAUGUAAAUGUUAUAAAAAUGUAUAAUUGAUUUUGGAAACAAAUAUUAUUUCCAUAAAUAAAUUGAAGUUAUCAAAUAAUAUUUUGGGACAGAAACGGUAGUAAUUAUUAUAAGCAUGUUUUACAAAAUAAUUUUUUUAAUAUUCUAAAUAAUAAGUUAUUGAUGUAAUUAAUUUGAGGUUAAAUAUAUCCCCUUAAAUUUAAUUACAUUAAUUAAAUAGUGCAAAUUUUAUAAAACUAUUUUUGUAUUAAUAAUUCAUUUGUGCCAAAUUAUAUGUCAUUUUUCCAAUUUCACAUAAAUUAAAAAAUAUUAUCAAUGUUGUAUAAAAAAGAGAAAUUAUGAUUUGUUUUAUAAAAUAUCGUUCAUUAAUGAUAUAAGAACGAUAAAUUUAAAACAUUGAGAAAAAAAAAAAACAAAGUAAUACAUAGUAAAAAGUUUAAUAGCAAAAGAAACAUUAAUAAUUUAGUGAUACCGGAAAACAAUAUCAUUUAGAAAGAAAUUAUUGAACACUUAUCUAACCAUUAAUAGUCGAACAUAAUUAAUCAAAUAUCAAAUAAUUAUAAGCAAUAAAAAUAAUUAUAAAAUUCUAAUUUGUCAAAAUAGCAAAAGAAACACAUCAUCGUUUUUCCUCUUAACUUCAUAGUAUCCAGUGCAACAUCCUCAACUCUCACUAUAUCGACAUAUGAAAAUUAAAGCGAAUCUUAAUUCUUUCAAACCUCUCUUUGAAUACAUGAGUGACAUUGACUUGAAUCCCCAAAGAUUAAGUUCACCCUUUAUAUUUUUUUUAACCUAUUAAAUAUAGUUUUUAUUAAAUAUUUCAAUGGUUAACAUUUGUCAAAUAAAAUAACAAAAAUAACAAAAUCAUACAGUUAUUUUAAAAAAUCAUUUAUGUAAUAUAGUAAAAAAGAAAAUAUUAAUGUUUUAUUCACUACACUAUUAUUUAAAAUAAUAAGGACCAUAAUUAUAACUCAUACUAAUAGAAUUUUAACACGUGUAUCACACGUACUUAUAUCAAUGGUAAUCUAUUCUGCAUCAAUUACCAUUAACAACAUAAACAACAUAACUUGUAUAAAACAAAUACUAUAAGUCAUUCAGUUUAAGAAAUAGAGUUCAAUUUAUUAUUUGAUAUUGUCACCCAUUUAAUCAAUCACUGCUCUUUUAUUCAAUUACAAAUAUGAUUAAUAUUUUAAAAUAUCUUGAAAUUAUUUUUUCAAUUGUGUUACUUUAAGAGCAUCCUAAUUUUGGUACUUUAAGAGCAUUCACUUAAGUUUAUCUACUUAUUUUAAAUGAUUUUGAUGAUUUUGAAAGGAUUUUAUCAUUUUGUAUAACUUUUUUAAAAGAGAUUUAAAAAUAAAAGUUUUAAAUAAGAAAUUAGUUUGAAUAGCUUCUAUUUUAAGUAUUUCAUCAUUUUAUUACAAAUUUUUUUAGAUGAUAAAAUUUCAAAAAUUGUUUAAAAUAUGAAGCUAUUAAUUUUGAGUAGUUUCUCAUAAAAAUCAUUUUCAAGAUGUAUUUUUUUUUAAAACAAUAAUUUUUUUAUUUUUUUUAAAUAUUUAUAUUAUUAAAUAUUAAAAUUAUUAUUUUUAAAUCUAUAACAUAUAACUCUUAAACAACUUUUAUUGUUUUUGAAUAGGUUUUCAUAAAAAUCAUUUUUCAUUUAAUCUAUAACAAACAUACCAAUAUCUUUAUUGUGUAGAUUACUUUUUCAGCGCAUUAAUUACCACUUUUUCCAUGCCAUAUUGCAGAAUUGUAGUACUGCUAGCUAGCUACGUACAAACCUUGGUGUUCUUAAUUCAUUCAUUGAAUCCAAACAUGAAGGUUGCAUUUCAUAUUACAUGUCUAACAAAUACAAGAGAUACAUACAUCAUAUGUAGUUCUUAGUAAAGUAAAACGUAAGAGUGAACAACCAAAGAUACAAAGCAAACAUGACAUGAUUGUGAUGAGGGAAUUUGAUUGCUACUCAUAUUUUAUUCAAUGCCGCAACACAACAAACCAUCAACCUCUUUAUAUGGAGAUACUAUUGGGAAUGUCUCUACAAGUCAAUCCUUUAUCACUAGAAGGAUAAAGCAAAGUGUAAGGCAUUUUCACUAGUCCACGUCGGUUUCUCAAUGACUCAUCAUUGUUCCUUUGAAUGAGCAUUUGCUCAAUUUUUGCCAACUUCUUUCCAAACCUCUUGAAAGCCUCAAUUGGUUGUGAAUCAGAAGUCCAAAGAUCACCUUUAACUCUUUGUCCAAGGUAUACAACAUAUGGAUAGUCCUCUGUUAAAAGACGAAUGUCGUGUGGAGAAGUUGAUCCUCAAUAGCCACUCUUCUAGAUAACAAGCAAGGAAGAUCACUACUAAAAAUUUCACUUUUAGUGACCGAUUUGGAGACUAAAUUUUUUCGAUCACUUUAGAGACUGAAUUAGAGACCAAAAUACAAAACUGUAUAAAGAACCAUUUUUUUGUCACUAAAUCGGUUGCACAUGAUAUUUAGAGACUGAUUUAAUGACUUAAGUUUUAGUGACAAAAAAAUCGAUCUCUAUUAUUUAUAUCUUCUUUUUAAUUAAAAUUGCUGGCAAAACUUUUAUUAAUGUCUAUUUUUGUUACAACACAUAUUUUUAUUACAUCACAUUUUUCAUUUGCGGCAUAUUUUGUUUUAAUUGGACAUAUCUUUGAUUUUGUUUUGUCUCAUCAGUUUCUCAUAAGAAAUCAUCUCAAAAUUUAAUUGAUUUGUGGACAUGAUUUUGUAUUUAAGUGUAUUACGUGUUUUUUUUUAUAAAUGAAUGAACAUCAAUGUUUUAGGAAUCACUAUUAGAAAAACCGAUUUUAGCGUCGGCCAAAAGCCCACACUAAUGUUGACUUGGCGUCCGAUUAGCGUCGGUGUCGGCCUAGGCUAAAACCGUCGAAGUCAAUAGCGUCGGUCAAAUACCAUCCCAAAGUAAAUGCAUCCAACACUAACAAAUAACAAUACCUUCAAAUUAGAAUCCGCUAGUUUAUAUCCUGAAAAAAUUCUAUUGCGUCGGAAUUACGGUCGACAAAUUAGUUAGCGUCGGCUACUCCGACGCAAUGGUCAACUAAUAAAGUAAGUGGACUAUUAAUAAAAGUCAACUUUGUUACUAAUAUAGCGUCGGGCAUGCCAAUGCUGCGAUCAACAAUUGAAACGUAAACAACAAAGAACAAAUCAAAUAAAUGUAGUUAAAUAUGUCACCACAAGCAUGAUAUAAUUGAUAAUGCAUAAAAAACACUUUAACAAAUGCCUAAUUCUUUCACCAGGUUCCAUUAUGCUUCAUUAUUAUAUACUUAUAUCAUAAAUCCCAGAUAGACAUCAAACAGAGAAAAUAAACCUUGCCUUGCAAAACGAGGUAAAGAACAACGUCAAAUUCUGUAUAAAUGCCUAAACAGAGGGUGCAAAAAAGCCAAGGUUAGACAUUGCAAACAAUUCAGGAAAUUGGGCUUCUUAUUGAGAUGAUGAAUACUGUUGCUUAUUUUUUAAAACCACAUGUAAUAAUAACUCAUGUAAAUUGUUGGUUUUUUAGAGGAAUGAGUACGCAUACAUGAAUGUAGUAUGUGUGUGACCCUCUUAGAUUCAUUAAGAUUAAUGUAUGAAAACAUUUAAAAGAAUAAUGAAAUAGAUUGCAGUAAAAAGAGCAUUACCAUUGCUCCCUUCAACAAUUCCUGCGGGUUCAGAGAGCUGCAAAACAUUGAUAAAUAUGUUUUAACAUAUAUCCAUGGCUAUUAGGUAAGUAAGACUUCAUUUGUUUUGAUUUGUUAUGUUGAUAUUAAUUUGCAUGAGCAUUUACAUUAAGUCGCUUGCACAUGAAAUAUUAAUUACUAAUAGAAACUUGCAGGCUGACCAGUCAAUCUUAGUGUCACAAGAACUAUACAUAAAUAAGAAUGAGGAGAGAAUUUUGAGAAACUUCAGCAAAGACAGAAUUUGGAAAUUGCACAUAAAGACAAAAGGAACAUAUAAAAUAUCAUAACAUAUAUUCCCCUUUGAAGUAUUACACACACACACAAAUACAAUCAAUUGAGCCAUGCACUCAGCCCCACUCAACUCCACCUAGUAAAAAGUGGUUUGCUUGUUGUUGACAAUGAUAAAGAAAUCUAAUUAUAGAAGCAAAAUUAGUACUGCAAGGCGCAAGCUAUAAAAGGCUUCACAAAUUGUCCGAGAAGAGAGGAUCACCACCAGCUAGCAAACGAGAUCCUCCUGUUUUCAGAUCAACUCUUGAUCAUUGGUACAGUAAGGACAUAAUUCGAACAACACAACCAUAAUUCGAACAGUACAGUCAAACCCUAAACCAAAACUGAACACAAACGACUUAGAUGGUUAAGGUUACAAUUACAUCGAGAAUGGAUGACAGUGAGAGUGAGCCUGAGAGACGAAAGUGAGAGUGAAUUUGAGAGACGAGAUUGAGACGGCGAAAGUGAGUCUGAGAGAUGAGCGGACGAGAGUGAGAUUGGGGGUGAGGCUGCGAGAGUGAAUGUGAGGCGAGGGAAACGGUGACACGGCGACGAAAGGGUGAGAGUGAAGAGUCAAGGGCGAGGGUUAGGGAAAAAUUAAUGAAGUGGGGAUAGGGAAAAUGGGGUGGGUGAGAGAUAAUAGGAAAAAAUAAUUUUAAUUUUUCAAAUAAGAUUAAAAGAUUUAAUUUUACAAAUCAGACAAUGUAGCGCCAGUCGACCUAAACGGCCAUAUUUUACUUAGCGUCGGCUAAGCCGACGCUAAUGUUUAAGCGGAAAAGAAAUUAAUGAACAUCAAUGUUUUAGGAAUAAAUGAACAUCAAUUUUAGGAAUGUUUGCAUAUAUUUGGGUUUAGAUAUAAGUCAACUAUAUAUUGUUUGAUUUGAUUCUAAAGAUGAAAAAAGGAUUUUGGAUAAGGAGCAGCAACAACCAUUCUAUCAUUGCAAACUCAUUUGAGUUUGUUAAGUUGCCAAUUGUGGCUAUAUAUUUUUGAUGAUUCAUUUGUAUUUAAAAUGAUUUGUUCAAUAUAUUCAGCAAAUAAUGCAUAUUAUUGGAAUUAGCACUGAACAAAGCAUAUGUUAUUUUGAAAAUGAAAAAAAUAGUGUUUUGAGGAGGAACUAUAAUUUCUCACCCGUUUGGAAAUUGUUUAACUUCUUAUUUCUCAAUCUAACACACUCACAUAUUAGGGCUAUUCUGUACGUGGUGUUUAGCUCUCAUUUAUGAGAAAAUUUCAAUGGCAACUUUAGGUUGUUUCGUUGGUUAGUAUGAUUGACUUAUUUAUGUUACAAACAAUUUUGAUUUGUUUUUUAUUGAAAAGCUUCUUUUCUUUCGUAUUGUUUUGUUCACUUGUACAAUGAUUGACUAUCUAUGUAUGCAUCUACAUUACCUAUAAAUCUUAUUUGGAUUUUAUCCAAAAGCGCUUCAUUUUCCUAAGGUUUAUGUGAAUUUUAGUUGCUAAAAUAUUUUCAUUGAAUUAUUCACUAAACUAAAAUUGAUUAGUCACUUACUAAUAUUAUGUAAAGUUUCAAAUAUUAAGAUUCUUCUAUUGUUGGUUAUUUUUAUCAACAACUUACAAGAUCACUUUUUUUAUUUAGGUCCCGCUGAGGAACUUGUUGAAAAACCGUUUGUUGUCAUAAAUUGGCCACAAUAUUCAAAUUUUAUAUUUUUCAAGCUAAAUACCCUAUCAAAAAGAAUUAUGAGAUAAACACUUAUUACAAAUAAACAUAAAAAAUAUGAGAUAAAUAUUUAUAAAAGAUAAAUUUAAAAAGCGCAUGAAUAAUAUUUAUCAUUAUUACUUUAAAAAAAUAUAAGACAAAUAUUUAUCACGAAAAGUAUAAAAAGCACGUGAUAAAUAUUUAUCAUUGAAAAAUAUAAAAAAUACCAGACAAAUAUUUAUUACUGAUAAAUAUAGAAAUACAUGAGACAAAUAUAUGUUAUUAAUAUAUAAAAAAUAUAUGACACAUAUUUAUCACCGAUAAAUAAAUAUAAAUAAAAAAUACGGAACAUAUAUUUGUCAUUGAUACAUAAAAACAACAUGAAAAAAAUAUUUAUCACAAAUAAAUAUAAAAAACACAGGAUAAAACUUUGUCACAGAUAUAUAAAAAGAAAUAUGAAAAAAAUAUUUGUCAUCGAUAAAUAUUAAAAAUACACACAGAAUAUAUAUUUUUCAUCGAUAAAUAUAAAAAAUUAUGGGACCAAUAUUUAUCAUUGAUACAUAAAAAAAAAUACAUAACUUAUAUUUGUCAUUAAUCAAUUUAUAAAAACAAUUGUGACAAAUAUAUGUCAUUAAUACAUAAAAUAAGACAAGAAAAAAAAUUGUUGAUAAAUUUAAAAAAGCACAAAACAUAGGGCAAAUAUUUAGUAUUAAAAUCAUACACGAUACAAAUAUUUGUCUUUAAAAAAUUAGUUAAAAUUAAUGUUAUUUUUAAUAUCUGAUACAUAAAAAUAAGAAUAAUUAUAAUACCGUAUUUAUAAAUAAAAAAAUAUACUCAAGACAAUUGUUUGUCAUAAUUAAUUAAUGAUUUAAAUAUAUAUUUGAUCAUCAAUUAUAGUAUUUUUUUAUUUUAGUCCUCAUAUGUUUUUUUGUUUGAUUCACAUCUCUCCAAAUACAUAUUCAUUUUAAAAUGGAGGGAGACAAUAAAAAUUAGAGUUUUCAGUUUUAGUUUCCCUUUAAAAAAAUAAUCAAAAAAUUAUUUUUUAUAAAAAAAUUUAUUUAAUACAUUGUGUCGUCAACUUAAUAUUUUAAUUACUUAAUGGUGUUAGAAUUUUUUUAUCAAAAAUUGGUCUAAAAGACUAUUUUAAAAUGAAUAUGUAUUUGUAGGAAUGUGAAUCAAACAAAAAAAUUUACGAUAACUAAAAUAAAUAAAUAAAAUAUUAUAAUUGUAAGGACUAAAGACGUAUUUAAAUCUUAAUUAAUUAAUUAAUUUUAAUUUAAUUAAUUAAGUUUAACUUACAUUUGUCUUUUUUGCUUAAUUUAAUUGGUUAUGCUUCAACAUUAUAGUAUCGUGCUUCGAUUAUAUCAAUUAAAUUUUUUGAUAGUAAAAUGUUAUAAUUUAUUUUAACAUUUAUGCAAAUAACAUAUCAUAAUUAUUUAUAUAAUAUUUAACUAUUCAUGUUAUAAUUAAGUGUUAUGUAUUUUUGUCCAAAUGACUUGUCCAAAUAACUGUGCCCAACCAAGUAUUUUUCUUUGUGCAUAGAGUAAUUUGCACUGUUGUAGUUAUUGAGUUAUUAUUUGUUUUGAAGUGAUUGAGUUAUUAUUAGUUAAGUUUAUUUUACUCAAAACUUUGUUAUUUGUUAUUUUAUAAGCAAAUAUAAAUAAUUAGUUAGAUUAUAUUAAUAUAUGAGAUCAAAUUUGAGAUAUUUUGAUUGAAAUGUUAUAUAGUAUAUAUAUAUAUAUAUCCCAUUAUGUUAGAUUAUUCAAUUAAUUAAUUAUUAUAAAUUAUGGCUAAUUGCUAAUAAAUAUUAAUUAAUUAUUAUAAAUUAUGGCUAAUUGCUAAUAAAUAUUAAUUAAUUAAUGAAUCUGUGUUGAAUUAUGUUUCUUAAAUCCAAUGAAAAGACUAUCCUUAAUAUUUUAUAGAAAAUUUGUCUUCGAUAGUAUAAAGUUGACCAAAAUACGUUACUAUAAAUCAACUUCUGUUGAUGUAUUAAGCAUCGGAGAGCAAAAAUAAAGGUGGAGGAAUACUUACCGACCUUUACACCAAUUUAUUUUUGUGUAAUAUCUUUUUUAAAAUAAAAUUGAUCGAUUUAAUAUUUGUUGAGAUAAUAUUAAUUUUAAAUAAAAAUUUAUUAAUAUUAAAUUUAAAAACAGUAGAAUAUAGAGGUGGAAAAAUCAAUCGAAUCGACAAUUUGUUUAUAUAAUUUAUCGAUCUCAGUUUUAAAUUUUAUACAUAAAAUACUAAAAUAUAUAUGUAAGGGAUUUUCGUUUUUAAUUUCAAGAUCCCUAAAUGUCUCUUACUAGAAUUAUUUUUUAUUUAACUAUUUUUCUAAAAGUUGAUUGAAAUUUUAUGUUUUUAUCAAUACAAGAACAACAUAUUAAUUUUUCACGUAAUUUCAUGAUAUGGAUUAAGAGAGAUAAUUUGUUUUUAAUUUUAAAAACUCUAAAAUGUCUCCUUGUUGUUUAAUUAUUUUUCUAAAUGUUAAUUGAAAGUUUAUAUUCUUAUGAUUAUUGCACUCAAAAUAUUAACAAUUACAUGAGUUUAUUUUAAAAUUGAACUCAAAAUAUUAACAAUUACAUGAGUUUAUUUUAAAAUUGAGAGAACUUUAAAUUCCAAUUUAACUGAUUUAAAAUCAAAAUCAACAAUAUAAAUAUUUACGAAUAUAAAAGACUUACUUAAAAAAUAAAAAAGGACUAACGUUGAAAGUUAAAAGAUAAAUCUAUUAUAUUCAUAUAACUUAAAAAACUACAAUAUAUAUUUGCAUAAAUAAAUUUAAUAAUAUAAUAUUAUUACUUUUUAAGGUAAAAUAUGAUUAGUUAGUAUUACUUUCACAAAAGAAAAUGAAAAUGAGGUGUAUUAGUGUAUGAUUAUUACCUAACAAUAUAUAUAUUGGCCAAACAAUUGGUUCCGGAAAAAUCAUAAGGGUGUAUUAAUACUUUUUCAGCACUAUAUCAUUUUUCUUCCAUACAAUAUUGCAGAUUAAUUCGCACUACUACCUUUAUAAAAGCAUAAGUAUUAUUCUAUGGUACCAUUUUGUAAGUUUUAUUUUUCAAACUCUCUAACACAUCACACAUGAUAUUGCAGUCUCUUUAUAACCUUUUACAUAGAAACUGAAUAGAAUGUAUAUGCAAUAUUGAUGCUUACGGUAGGACAAUUCACUACUAGAAAAACAAGCUUUAGCGUCGGCCAAGAACCCACGCUAAAAACAAAAGGCCGACGCUAAAUAUGAUUUAGCGCCGCAGCAGAGGCUCAAUCUAAAAGGCUCGAAGCUAGUCAUUCGCGUCGGCUUCUUGUCAUCGGACGCUACAAUCUAUGGCAGAAUGGCCGAAGCUACAUGUUGUGUCGAUGAAACCGACGCUAAAUAGCGUCGGUUAGGCCUACGCUAACAUUGAAAAUCCCAAAAAAUAUAUCGCGAUACAGAACCACGUAAUAUAAAAGCUGUGUUAAUAAAUCCACAACGCAAAUUACAAAUAGUUAUUACAAAAAAAUAUUAUUGCACACGAAAAAAAGAUAAAAUAAAUAAUAGUAUAUCAAACUUAGAUGAAAUUAAGGUAAUUAGAGAAUCGAAUGAAUAGCAUAGUCCACCUUAAAAAAAAAAAACGAUAAGCAAUUAAAUCUAGAUUUGAAUUUUGUCAUUUUUAAUUAGAACAUUGUUCACUUGUUCUAGAGUUCUAUAUAAAUACAAUGUGUUUUUCCACUCUCAAAUUCCUUCAAAUAUUACCACCAUUUCAUUAUAAAGGAAAAAAGAAAGUAUUUUCGGUCUAAAAUGAAAAAGUAUACGAUAAGACUUACUCUUAUUAAGGGGAUUAGCACAAGGUCUUACAAAUUCUCUAAAAUUACCUUACCCUCCAAGAUCAAGAAGGAGAAACUUUACAAACAACUUAAAAGUAAGUUUUUGAGGCCAUUUACUCAUGCAAAAUACAUAUAAACCUCAAUAAAAAUUUCACAUAAUCCCAUCUCAUAAUAGAACAUAAAAACUAAAAAAAUAAAAAUAACAUAGUACCUUUCCUUGAUAAAGAACAAAAGGUAGGAGAAUAAGAAAUGCAGCACAGGGAAAAGAAAAUGAUAAUGGUAAAACAUGUAAGACCCAAAGAUCUAAGAUAACCCAUAAGCAUAGCAUUCCCAUCAUAAACAAAUUGCACACCAUUUCCCUCCAAUUACAGCCACAUCUUCCAUCAUACCAUAACUCAUCAUUUUUACUCAUUUCUUAUAAUUCCAAAUUCCAAACAUGAGAGGAGUGAUUUAUAUUUUAGUCUAUCCUCUCUUUUAUAUCUCAAUUUCAAUUCCCUCUAUACUCAAUAAUUCUCUCUAUCAUAAAUCAUAUAUUAAACUAAUAACAAGAAAAUGAAUAUGGAACUAAUCAUGAGAGUAUUGAUGAUGUAUGCAAUCCAAGUCUCCACAAUAAAAGUUCUAUUAGUUUUGAAGUCUAAGGUCUACAUCACUAACACAUAAUCAACUAGAAGACAAUAAGUGCGAAUUUAAUACUUACAAGCUCAAGUUCCACAUCAAUAUGAGCCUUGUGGCAUGAGGUCUGGAACGCUCUUCUUCUUGGUGAAGCUCGACGAUCUUAUUUUGAUUGGAGAUGUUCUUGAAUUUUACGCCUUCCCUGUAAGCUUGAAGACAAAUCCAAGCUUCCUCACCUAGAAAAAAAUAUAUGAACUUAAGAAACAAAUCAAACAUGACAAUGUAAACAAUUUGUAAACUAGACAUAGAUUACCAAUGAUAAAUAAGGGUAACAAUAAGAACAAUCAACUUGUAAACUAGACGAUGAGAUCAAUAAUCUAUUACAACUUACAAGAACCUCAAAAUAUAGAUUAUGCAAGUAUCAACCAAUAAUUGUGAGUCAGAAUGCUUCCAUCAAUAAUCUAUUGCAACUUACAAGAAGCAAACGUGCUUUUCUUAUAAUGACACAAUAACUAAAUCCCUAAGUUACAUCUUUGUUCACAUAAGGUAAAAUUAAAAGGUAAGUUAUCAAACAUGCAAAUAAGGAACAAAAAAGCUUAACCUUGUUCAAUAUAAACAUUAAAUUUAAAUAACAAAAGAAAAUCAUAAGUCUAAUAAUCAUCAAUCUCAAUCCAAUGCUCAAAAUAUACUUUAGUUCAAUCAAGGCAGGUGCAGCUAAAGGUCUUACUGUUUCCAAAUCACACCAUAAUAAUGGAAAUAAUGAUCUUUUCAACGUGGGCUUCAUCGCUAGGUCUGCUGCAAAGAUUCAAGCUAUAGCUAAUAACAAAUUCAUCCUUCUACAUGAUGAGGACAAUGCAUGUAGCUCAAACUAGACUGUAAUUGAGGAUGAACUAGGGAUUAAUGUUAAUUCUCAAGGCUACAUCCCUCCAAAUGACAGUACCCUGUAAGUUACAGAGAUAUCAGAAACACCUUUGGAUGAUAUGACUACAAGAUUUGGAGUUGCACCCUCCUUAACAUUUUUUAGGAACACAAGGCACAAUUGCACCUUAUUAAGCCACAAUAAGAACAACAUUUAUCAACAUACAAAAUCAAUCACUAACAACAAUCAAAUGUAAACUAACCAUGAUUAUGAGACAUCACAUCCAGAUCCACUAAUCUGCAAUUCAAUCACAUAAUAGUUUCAUAUUUUUCAGACUUCAGUAAAAAGAACAGAACAUGGCAAUAUCAAAAAAAAUUAGGGUUCAAGGAUCAAAGUAGCUUACCUGAUGCUGCAAGAGUUGUGUGAGGGCUUCCUAGAAGAGAAGGGAGAAGUGGUCAUAUGACUGUGAAUAGAGGUCAAAAAUCAUAUUUGAACAAUGUAACAAUAAUGCUUUCUAAAAUAUGGGGUUUAGGAUUUUAUAAAAAUUGAGAGAAAAUGAAAGAUUAGAGUUUCAUAAAAAUUGUUCCUUUGAAACUCAAACUCGAGACUUUAGGAAAGAAAAACUCACCUUUGAAUAAAAUGAAGACAACAGUGGAGGAAGAAAAGUAUGGCAUGGCAGUGAUAAACCAAAACUUUCUGCAAAGAAAAAACUGGAAGGAAAUUAGAAUAGACAAGAAUGAGGGAAACGAGAGUGAUGAGAAUGAAUGAGGGAAAGAAAGGAAAAUCGUGAAGGUUUUUUUGGUGUGUGGGGCAAAAAGAAAGGGAUGAAGGGAGGAGAAUGGAAGGAAGAGAACUGGUGGAAAGAGACGAGAGUGGACGGUUAAAACCGUAUUUUCUAGCGGUUAUUAUUACCUAGAAUAUAACCCGGGCAAUACUUCAUAAUUCUAUAAAUAAGUAGUUAUUGUGAAUAAGAUUUUAAAAAUAAUAUAAUUUAUUUAUUUUAUUUGUAGAGUAAUUUUUUUAAGUGGAUUUAGUAGAGUAAUUAUUAUAUAUAAGUUGACAUACACACAUUUGAGAAUAAGUAAAAUGUUUUGUAUAGUGAAGAUCAUCCUACAAAUAAAAUUCAUAAAUUAUAUUUAUUGUUAAAAAUCUUAAAAAUAUUUUAAUAAAUAUUAAUAUAUAUAAUUAUCUACCACAAAAUUAUAUUAAUCAUGCUCUUCUUUUGUGUUGUCAAAAUAUUGUUAGAAAAAUAUGAAAAUAAUUUUAUCAUUUAGUAUUCAUUUCAUUAUAAUCUGUAAAAAAAACAAAUAAUUUUUUAAUCUAAAUGGUAAAUAGUUUUAUCUCAAAGACACAAUAAUAACACUCAUAUAAAGCUGAAUAUGGACAAUAUUAUUUGUCUUUUGAGAAGCCAACAUACGAUCAUGUCGUAGAUGAGAUCACAUAUGUCUCUAAAAACAAUAUUAUAACUAAGAACAAUCAAGAUUUUGAGAAAAAUGAACAAAUAAGUAUAAUAUGUUACAAAAUACCACUUACUCAAAAACUAUUUGUACAAAAAAAAACAAUUCCAACUAUAUCUACUUCUUUGAAAUAAUUGGGUUGCAAAGAGAUUUUCUUUUGAGUUGAUAAAGUGGAGUUGUGAAAACUUAUAUGCAUAAUGUUUUCUCAUGACAUUGACAAAUCUUAAAAGUUAAUAGCAUAAGUUGCGAUAUAUAAGUUAAUUGCAUGAUGCUGCGAAAUAAAAGAUAAUUGCAUAAGGUGUGUUAAAAUAGCUACAAGAAAAAAAUAUAUUGACCAUUUAAAUAUUGGAGUUUCAGUUACCAAAAUAUAAUGUCAAAAUAAAUAUUAGAGUUUCAGUUUUGUUUUUAAUAAAACACUAAUUGUAUAGAUUAUUUGAAGAAGUAGAAUAGUAUACGUAGAAGAAAAAAACUUAUAUAUUGAUUGUACUUAAAUUUGUAACUCAUGACACAUUAAUAGUUAUACAUACUAUUAUAUGUUAAAUAAUAAUAAUAAUAAUAACAACACAACAUUUGAUAAAGAUGUAGGAGUCUAUUUUAAUAUAUAUAAUAGAUAAAAUGUGUGUUAAAGCAAAAUGAAAGUUGAAUAAUAAAGAGAAUUUAAGCGGAAAAACCAUUUAGAUGUGGCACAUGAGAUUUUUGUUGAGGUGACAAUAUUUGAAUGAAAUGACAUAAUAUUAGAUGAUUUUUAAGUGGGAGUCUAUUUUAAUUUAAGAUUUUUGUUAAAGGGACAAUAUUUGAAUGAAAUGCCAUAAUAUUAGAUGAUGUUUAUGUAGGAGUCUAUUUUAAUAUAUUGUUUAUCUAAAAGAAAAAGGUUUAAAAACAUGUAAUGAUGGAAGAAGAGAUAGAUAAACCUUUAAAAUGAUUCAAUAUAUUAAUUGAUAGUUAAAACAUACAAAGAGGAAAAAUUGUUAUCAACAAAGAGGAAUAAUUGUUAUCAAUAAUGAUGAGGAAACACCGUUAAUUAUCAAUAAUGAUGGAGGAAUAAUGAAUGUCUAAUAAUUGAUAACAUAUUUAUUUAUUGUGUUGUAAUUUGUAACUUAUAGCAUAUGAAUAAUUUUACAAAAUAUAUAUGAAAAAAAUAAAUUGCAAGUAUGAUAAUAAGAAAGAGGAAGAAUCUUGUUAGACGUGCCACAUCAAUUUUUUUUUUAUGGGACAAUAUUUGAAUGAGAUGACACAAUAUUUGAUAAACACGAAGGAGUCUAUUUUAAUAUAUAUUAUAGAUACAUUUUUUUAAUUAUUAUAUAUAGAUACAUAUAUAUCACAGAUCUAGUUUGUUACAAGGUAAAACAAACACAAUAGUUCUUAUUGAUUAAAGUAAAACAUAAUUAAACAAACAUACAUGGUAAUGUAACCGUAGAUAAUGAGUGAGGGAAUUGAAUUCCUUCUCAUCUGUUAUUCAUAUUCAUAGUAGAAACACAACAACCAUGACCUUCUUUAAAUAGAGAUACUAUUGGGAAUGCCUCUAAAAGUCAAUCCUUCUUCACUAGAAGGAUAAAGAAGAGUGUAUGGCAUCUUCACAGGUCCAUUUCGAUUCCUAAGUGUCUCAUCAUUGUUCCUUUGAGUGAGCUUUUGCUCAAUUUCAGCCAACUUCUUUCCAAACCUCUUGUAGGCCUCUAUUGGUUGUGAGUCAGAAGUCCAUAGAUCACCUUCAAUUCUCUGUCCAAGGUAUUGCUCAUCAGAAGCAUGCCUUGACAAGACCUCUAUAAUGGUCAGGUCAGUAAGGGUAUCAUUCUUUGGUGUGAUUGUCCUCAAAUAUGUCUUUUGGUAGUUCUUAGCAAGUUCAUCAUACUCAGGGGAUCCUUUCUCAGGCAUAUAUCUCCUACUUUUAGUUGGUCGGUUAAGGAUAUAUCCUCCAUAUGGAUAUUGUCCAAAAUUAACAGCUGCAUGAAGUGCUGAAGCAAUCCAUAUGAGAAUGGUGCAAGCUUCAAUCAACUCUUUACGAGUUUGCAUCUUAAACCACCAUGUAGCAUUCUUCAAGUCACCAUGACCAACCUCUACAAGUUCUUUCCAAAAUGCUUGGAGUUCAGAAUCUUGUGCAAUAGCAUCAUCUGACUUGUAGUAAAAAUUCACAUAUUCUUCAACCCAUGACUUGAUAGCAGCCCAUAUUUCUAGUCCAUCAGAAGCAUAAGGGUAGUCUUCUAUUAGAAGGCGAAUACCAUAUGGUGAGGAUGGAUCCUCAACAGCCACUCCCCUAUAUAACAAGCAAGGAAAAUAUAAUUAAAAUAUAAAAAUUAGAUCAAUAUCUUUUUUAACAAAUUAAUGGAGUGACCCUUUUGUAAGGUUACCUUUUAUGUAAUUAAAAUAUAAAAAUUAGAUCAAUAUCUUAAACCACAAAUUAAUGGAGUGGCUCAUGGAUGAAAUAUUUUGUAAUUAAGAUUACCUUUUGAGUAAAUCAUAAGGUAGUCCUUGCUCAGUGAAAACCCAAUCCUUGUAAACAGUAGAAGACAUUUCCAAAGCAUAUCCACCCCACAAGAAUGUUGAUUCUAUAAUACCUUCGGCAUUGACAAGGACAUUUCGAGCAAGUGCAUUUAUGUUCAUUGUAUCACGAUAAUGUGGAAGUAAAAGUUUAUGAAUAGGAUGAACCACACUAAGAUGUCUAUUUGUUGCUAUGAUGAAUGGCUCAACAACAGCGUGAGUGUUCAACCUGUCACAUAUAUAUAUUCAUGAAUUACUCAUGGAUAGAUAAAACAUGUUACAUUGUACAAACAUCAUUAAUGAAACUCAUACCAAUGGCUAACAAGUUGGUGAUAACAGGAGUCAUUUACAACAACAUAAGCCUUGGAAAGUAGCCAAAUUGAAGCUUCAACACCUUCGCUUGCCGGCAAGUAUACAUUACUAACAGGACCAAAACUAUCACCUUGAGGAUGUGGCCUACUUAGCUCAAUUGCCAAUGGCUUCAAUGUUCCAUCAUUUUGCAAGAAAAGAAUGGUUCUUGUAGCAUAGGCCUUAGUGUCGGUUGCAUUUAUUUUCCUCAAAUAUGGAAAAAGUGGAUCGUGGUGAUCAAGUAUAUACAAUCUAUUAUUUUGGAUGGCCUGUUAAACAAAAUAUAAUUUUUUUGAUGUGGUUCAUUUGAAUAAAAACAAUCAAUUUUGCUGAAAAAGAAAAAUAUAAUGAAUCCUUUUGGGGAGUGUCCAAUUGUCUUACCUCUUCUACGGUGACACCACUCAUGUUUGGCUCUAAGUGUUCUUUGGUUAUUGUGCUAGUAUUAUCACCAUAGAUUUGACUAUCUAACUUGCUCUUUGGUGGGAACUCCUAAAUUAAUUGUAGCAAAAAAUGAGGUUAAUUACCAAUUAUAAUUAUAGGAUGAAAAGAGACAAAUUAUAAUGUUAACUAUGAAGUUUACCGUAAGUAUUUUGAUGAUGUGUGGAUUAACACCAGCAAUCAUCUCCCUUGCAAAUUCCUCAUCAGUCAUCCAAGCAGAAUGAUCCACUAUUCAUGAUAGAAAAAUUUUAAUAGAACAUUGAACAUCUUUUUUAUGAUUUAGCAUGUAAAUAUAUUUACAAGACUAGGAAUUUGUGAGUAAUAUAUACCUUGAACCACUUUAGGUGGUGGGAAUUUAAGUGCCGAUUCACCAUCACUUCGGAAAAGUUCAGUAAACAAUGGUAUUGGGCUAAUUUCACUUAAUAUAUUAGUGGGAAGCUUAAUUCCACCAUCAUAGAGCGAGCGUACAUCUUCAAAAGUGUUAAAUUCAGGUUCAUUGAGUUGUAAUGUAACUACAGAUCUUAACCGAGGUAUGAUAUUUUGAGAUGCUGAUUUGAGUAUGUAAACAAGAAAAUCUGACGACUUCAAGUGACCAAAUGAUUCAUCUCUUGGAAGGUAAACAACGUCGCUCCGACUCUCACUCUUAGGAUCUGUUCACGUAUAAAAUAACAAAAUAUGUUAUAGAAACUACAAUAAUAUUUUUAAAAUCACAAGUAGAGUAAACAUUGUAUGAACAAAAAGACACAUUGUUCUGCUCCAAAAAAGUGGCACCAUGUCAGUAUAGUUAGCCUUAAUUUCAAUUAUGUCAAGGUACCAUUAAACAACCUGUAUUGGUCACUAGUAACAAAAAAACAUUACAUAAAAAGUUACAUUAAAUACAAUUUCACAUUUUAGUACAAUAUUAUUGGAUUUGUACUAAAAUAUACGUUAAAAGUAAAAUAGAAGGCUUAACCUUUGCUAGUUGGUUUUUUGCCAGUUCUACCCCUUCGAGGGUAAGGAAGGGUGCUCGAUCCUCCAAGAAUUGGACGAGCUAAGGUACUUUUCUUGUCGGGCUCACCCAAAUCAUUGUAGACAUCAUAAUCAUAUAUUCUUUCCCAUUCUUUACGUUCUCCAGUUCCAUCUCCUCUUAAAGUUUUCAACUCUUCUUUUCUAUAGUACACUAAUGGAGCUGGUGUUUCACUUGGAAUAUAUGUCUACAUAAAUUUAAUCAUUCAUAACCUCAAGUUUAACGAACAAUAAUCUAUAUAUAUAACAUUUUUAAUAAAUAUAUUUAACAAAGUAAGAUAAAAUUUAUAUACUUAAUUACCUUG
RNAcentral lists this long non-coding RNA (21150 nucleotides) under Cicer arietinum (chickpea). RNAcentral's name for it is "long non-coding RNA (CARI_LNC002389)". Lineage: Eukaryota; Viridiplantae; Streptophyta; Magnoliopsida; Fabales; Fabaceae. The record is from RNAcentral.